RNAcentral lists this ribosomal RNA (497 nucleotides) under uncultured bacterium. RNAcentral's name for it is "partial 16S ribosomal RNA". It matches the Rfam family "Bacterial small subunit ribosomal RNA", at positions 28 to 507 of the family's 1533-position model. The record is from RNAcentral.
GAUGAACGCUGGCGGCGUGCCUAAUACAUGCAAGUCGAGCGAACAGACGAGGAGCUUGCUCCUCUGACGUUAGCGGCGGACGGGUGAGUAACACGUGGAUAACCUACCUAUAAGACUGGGAUAACUUCGGGAAACCGGAGCUAAUACCGGAUAAUAUAUUGAACCGCAUGGUUCAAUAGUGAAAGACGGUUUUGCUGUCACUUAUAGAUGGAUCCGCGCCGCAUUAGCUAGUUGGUAAGGUAACGGCUUACCAAGGCGACGAUGCUUAGCCGACCUGAGAGGGAGAUCGGCCACCCGGGCACUGAGACACGGUCCAGACUCCUACGGGGGGCAGCAGUAGGGACUCUUCCGCAAUGGGCGAAAGCCUGACGGAGCACCGCCGCGUGAGUGAUGAAGGUCUUCGGAUCGUAGAGCUCUGUUAUUAGGGAAGAACAAAUGUGUAAGUAACUAUGCACGUCUUGACGGUACCUAAUCAGAAAGCCACGGCUAACUACGUG